AAUAAGUUGGCAGAAUAGUGCCCGGGUUUUUAAAAAGGGUUCAGGGGUUAUCCCACUUAUUA
Molecule: transfer RNA, 62 nt
Filed under: Aporrectodea haymozi
Lineage: Eukaryota; Metazoa; Annelida; Clitellata; Crassiclitellata; Lumbricidae
Description: tRNA-Leu
Source: RNAcentral